RNAcentral lists this long non-coding RNA (484 nucleotides) under Ananas comosus (pineapple). Its description in RNAcentral is "long non-coding RNA (ACOM_LNC016656)". The record is from RNAcentral. Lineage: Eukaryota; Viridiplantae; Streptophyta; Magnoliopsida; Poales; Bromeliaceae.
ACCUACCGUCGAACAACGUGCGAUUUCGGACGAUCGGUUCAUCAGAUUUACGAAUGGAUCAUGCUAGCACUUCCGGCACUGCCAGACCUUCAAACCUGCGAUUUUGUUUCGCCUGAAUCGAUUCCCAAUCGCGACAAAAGCCAGCUCUCUCUAGUUCCACAUAUAAAAUACCUAUAUAUAUAUAUAAUUCGAAUUAGAAAUCAAACUUCAAAUUCAAAUUAUAAGGUACGUAUUACAUCAUCCCCUCCUUACAAGAAGUUUCGUCCUCGAAACUUAAUCACUUAGCUCCCCUAAACAACUGAGGAUACCGCUCCCACAUAGCCGUCUCAAGCUCCCAUGUAGCCUCACGCUUCUCGUGGUUUUCCUACUGAACCUUCACAUACGGAAUACUCCGAUUCCGCAGCUGCUUCACCUCACGUACUAAAAUCCGCAACAGAGCCUCAUCAAAGCUGAGGUCCUCCCUUAGCUGAACUGUCGUCGAACU